AGUUAAUGAACUUGAUAUAAGUAUAUAUUUUGAAAAUAUAACAUAGUAAUAAAAUUUACUAUUAACUU
RNAcentral lists this transfer RNA (68 nucleotides) under Elodes marginata. Its description in RNAcentral is "tRNA-Ser". The record is from RNAcentral. RNAcentral also lists the same sequence under 1 other name. Lineage: Eukaryota; Metazoa; Arthropoda; Insecta; Coleoptera; Scirtidae.